GGGCUUAGGAUGAAAAUUUUAAUUAUCUUAGCGGAUUUCUGUGAGAUUAUUCUUAAUCAGUGAUCUCAUUGUUACACACACUGAAGCCC
Coffea eugenioides is the source of this 89-nucleotide small nucleolar RNA. RefSeq annotates it as small nucleolar RNA R11/Z151. The transcript has a single exon. NCBI's taxonomy places the organism in Eukaryota, Viridiplantae, Streptophyta, Magnoliopsida, Gentianales, Rubiaceae. The record is from RefSeq and is a predicted model, not a curated record.